GCCUGUCCUGCAGGAUUGGUUUUUUAGGGAAACAUGUCAGAUCAGGAAUGAAGCAGCAUUAACCUUUAAGACUGGUGCUUGCGUGGUCGCGGGUC
RNAcentral lists this signal recognition particle RNA (95 nucleotides) under Candidatus Woesearchaeota archaeon CG_4_10_14_0_2_um_filter_33_10. RNAcentral's name for it is "signal recognition particle sRNA small type". It matches the Rfam family "Bacterial small signal recognition particle RNA". From Rfam's summary of the family: The signal recognition particle (SRP) is a universally conserved ribonucleoprotein involved in the co-translational targeting of proteins to membranes. Archaeal SRP consists of a 7S RNA and homologues of the eukaryotic SRP19 and SRP54 proteins. In most bacteria, the SRP consists of a 4.5S RNA and the Ffh protein (a homologue of the eukaryotic SRP54 protein). Lineage: Archaea; Nanobdellati; Candidatus Woesearchaeota. The record is from RNAcentral.